AUGGUCGCCAUGCUGCCCGCCGCGAGGGGGGACGCCGCCCCGGCCACCAGCGCCGGCGCCGCCGAGAAGCUCGUCCGUGGGCCUGUCGCUGACGGCAAGUGCAAGAAGAAGGCCCCGAGGAUGAUCCACAAGGCCGAGAGGGAGAAGCAUAAGCGCGACCUGCUCAACGAUCUCUUCGGCGAGCUCGGCGAAAUGCUAGAAGCAGACAGGCAGACCAAUGGGAAAGCAUGCAUAUUGACUGACACCACUCGAAUCCUUCGAGAUCUGCUUUCGCAAUUAGAAUCUCUCCGAAAGGAGAAUAGCACCCUGCAGAAUGAAUCCCAUUAUGUUACAAUGGAGAGGAAUGAGCUGCAGGAUGAGAACGAUGUGCUCCGCAACGAAAUACUGGAGCUACAGAAUGAACUGGCGACGCGUCCUGCAGGCAACCCAGGUUGGGGCCAUGCUACUGCUGGAUCGCCUCACGCUGCGAGCACAGUUUUCCCGUCACAUCAGCCAAUGCAGCCGAGCACCAUCGCAAGCGCAGUAUUCCCCUUGCAGCAGCCACUGCAACAGACAACCAUCCUGGAGCACCCUUAUGCACCACCACCACCACCACGGGAACUUAAGCUCUUCCCAGACACGGCGUCUGACAUCGAAGGCCUUGAACCAUCAGAAGAUCCGGAGGCCGCCAACCAUAUCGCGCGGCCGCUGGCAAGGUACCCAACAGAGUCAGCGUCGUGGCCUGUAACUGUAAGCCUGGGUCUCCCGAGGACGGAAGAUGAACAAUGUAGCAGUGGCACAACCGGCAGUAGCUCUGCCUCUUCUAGAGAUUGA
Molecule: ribosomal RNA, 813 nt
Filed under: Triticum aestivum (bread wheat)
Lineage: Eukaryota; Viridiplantae; Streptophyta; Magnoliopsida; Poales; Poaceae
Description: partial small subunit ribosomal RNA
Source: RNAcentral